UACGUAGGGCGCAAGCGUUGUCCGGAAUUAUUGGGCGUAAAGAGCUCGUAGGCGGCCUGUUGCGUCCGCUGUGAAAUCCCGGGGCUCAACCCCGGGUCGGCCGCGGGUACUGCCGGGCUGGAGUGCCGUAGGGGCAGGCGGAAUUCCGGGUGUAGCGGUGGAAUGCGUAGAGAUCCGGAAGAACACCGGUGGCGAAGGCGGCCUGCUGGGCGGCGACUGACGCUGAGGCGCGACAGCGUGGGGAGCAAACAGG
This 253-nucleotide ribosomal RNA is filed under the name uncultured bacterium. RNAcentral's name for it is "partial 16S ribosomal RNA". It matches the Rfam family "Bacterial small subunit ribosomal RNA", at positions 524 to 776 of the family's 1533-position model. The record is from RNAcentral.